Macaca fascicularis (crab-eating macaque) is the source of this 148-nucleotide unclassified non-coding RNA. It matches the Rfam family "Metazoan signal recognition particle RNA". From Rfam's summary of the family: The signal recognition particle (SRP) is a universally conserved ribonucleoprotein. It is involved in the co-translational targeting of proteins to membranes. Lineage: Eukaryota; Metazoa; Chordata; Mammalia; Primates; Cercopithecidae. The record is from Ensembl.
GCUGGGCAUGGUGGUGCAUGUCUGUAGUCCCAGCUACUUGGGAGGCUGAGGUAGAAGGAUUGCUUGAGUCUGGGAGGUUGAGGCUGCAGUGAGCCAUGAUUGUGCCACUGCACUCCAGCCUGGGCCACAGAGUGAGACCCUAUCUCCA